GACGAACCGUGCGAACGUUAUUCGGAAUCACUGGGCUUAAAGCGCGUGUAGGCGGGGCGGCACGUCGGUCGCUGAAAUCCCCCGGCUUAACCGGGGAACUGGCGGCGAUACGACCGUCCUGGAGGGGCGUAGGGGGACCUGGAACUUCCGGUGGAGCGGUGAAAUGCGUUGAGAUCGGAAGGAACGCCCGUGGCGAAAGCGAGGUCCUGGACGCCUACUGACGCUGAGACGCGAAAGCCAGGGGAGCGAACGGG
RNAcentral lists this ribosomal RNA (254 nucleotides) under uncultured bacterium. RNAcentral's name for it is "partial 16S ribosomal RNA". It matches the Rfam family "Bacterial small subunit ribosomal RNA", at positions 524 to 776 of the family's 1533-position model. The record is from RNAcentral.